Molecule: ribosomal RNA, 497 nt
Filed under: uncultured bacterium
Lineage: Bacteria
Description: partial 16S ribosomal RNA
Rfam family: Bacterial small subunit ribosomal RNA
Source: RNAcentral
GACGAACGCUGGCGGCGUGCCUAAUACAUGCAAGUUGAGCGCUGAAGGUUGGUACUUGUACCGACUGGAUGAGCAGCGAACGGGUGAGUAACGCGUGGGGAAUCUGCCUUUGAGCGGGGGACAACAUCUGGAAACGAAUGCUAAUACCGCAUAAAAACUUUAAACACAAGUUUUAAGUUUGAAAGAUGCAAUUGCAUCACCCAAAGAUGAUCUCGCGUUGUAUUAGCUAGGUGGUGAGGUAAAGGCCCACCAAGGCGAUGAUACAUAGCCGAACUGAGAGGGGGAUCGGCCUAAUUGGGACUGGGACACGGCCCAAACUCCUACGGGGGGCAGCAGUAGGGAAUCUUCGGCAAUGGACGAAAGUCUGACCGAGCAACGCCGGGGGAGUGAAGAAGGGUUUCGGAUCGUAAAACUCUGUUUGUAGAGGAGAACGAUGGUGAGAGUGGAAAGCUCAUCAAGUGACGGUAACUACCCAGAAAGGGACGGCUAACUACGUG